This is an RNA transcript of Bombus pascuorum, 4276 nucleotides long. It is a transcript of the gene named sphingomyelin phosphodiesterase, with no coding region annotated. NCBI's taxonomy places the organism in Eukaryota, Metazoa, Arthropoda, Insecta, Hymenoptera, Apidae. The record is from RefSeq and is a predicted model, not a curated record. The transcript has 12 exons.
AUUCGGCGAGUAUUGCUCAGUGUACGCCGAGUCGUCACUGCGGCCAGGUUGGCACACGUGUUUGUGUUGCGGGUUAAUACGCACGCGCGUGGAAUACCAACAACCGAUUGGGGGGGAGAAAGAAAAAGAGAAGAAGAAUCCUUUCGAUAAAUAUCGCGGAGUGUAGUGAACACGUGUGCGUGCGCGUUUUGUCCCUGGUGAUCUAGAAAACGUGCGGAACGUCCGGCUGAACCUUGAAAUGUUACAAAACUGAUUUAUUUCGGAGAAUACGUAGUUCCUUAGAUAUUUUUCAAAUUGUCGACCAUUUUUUCAAUCCUUGCACUUCCCAACGUUUCUUUAUGUACCACGUGACACCCUACGUACUUCAAAAUUCUUGACGAUACCAAAGAGCCAAAUCGUAGCAUGCCAAAUCAAAGAUGGAUCAUCACGAGUAUUCUUAUUUGCUUUUUCCUCGUUGGAAUGUUGAAAAGCGCUGCUGGAAGUCCCGCCAGGGACAGGUCAAAGGAGGAAGAGGAAAUGCCUAUGAGCAACUGGACGCAACUUGCAGACGAAUGGCUCGCCAAAGCAAGUGCAACAAGAGGGUUGGACGUUACCGUUUUACCAUUUACCGAGACGCUCAGAGAUUUACCACCGACCGCGGAAACUAUCCGCAUUAAUGGUACUAACCUCGAUCAACUUUCACGGCACAAUUAUUCCAGAAUGUUGUGGGAGAUGGAGAACGCGCAACCAAAUGGACACUUGUCAGGAUUUGUGGAUAAAGCUUUAAAAUUACUGGAUCUAAAGCAAGUGAUGAUGGAGGUGGAGACAUCGGUGAUGUCGAAGGUGUCUUGUUCAGCGUGCAAAGUUGGGGCGGGUCUUCUUCUACAUUACAUAAAGGUUGGCAAAAACGACGAAGAAAUUAUGAACAGCAUUUACCAAUUUUGUACAUCCCUUAAUAUUCAAAGCCCUCGAGUUUGUCACGGAGUUACAUUGCUCUUUGGGGGCGAAGUUAUCUACGUGCUGAAACAAGUAGAUAUGGGACCAUCGCAAAUCUGCAGCUUUGUUAUCGGCGACGCAUGCGACGACGCGUAUAAUCCUCUGCACGAGUGGGAAGUUGCAUUCCCGCCAGUGAAUAAACCACCUGUGAAACCACCCGUACCGCCUCAAGAAGGUGCGCCUACCUUCAAGGUUCUUCAUAUCUCUGAUACGCACUACGAUCCUUACUACCAAGAGGGUGCGAACGCAGAUUGUAAUGAACCCUUGUGCUGCAGAUUAACCAAUGGGGCACCCCAGACACCAGCCGCACGUGCUGGACGAUGGGGUGACUACCGAAAAUGUGACACGCCAAAAAGAACGGUUGAACAUAUGCUUAAGCACAUCGCGGAUACACAUUCUGAUAUCGACUACAUUUUGUGGACAGGAGAUUUACCACCUCAUGACGUGUGGAAUCAAACGCGAGAGGAAAAUCUGAAAGUUUUGCAUGAAACGGUGACACAGCUCAUUGAGAUGUUUCCCGGAAUACCGAUCUUUCCUGCUCUUGGAAAUCAUGAAAGUGCUCCUGUUAAUAGUUUUCCACCUCCAUUUGUGCCAAAAGAAAACGACAUAUCGUGGUUGUACGACUCGCUCGAUAAACACUGGAGACAUUGGUUACCAGCAGGUGUUUCACACACUGUUCGCCGUGGCGCUUUUUAUUCGGUUCUAGUGCGUCCAGGAUUCAGAAUCCUUUCUGUCAAUAUGAAUUAUUGCAAUAACAAAAACUGGUGGCUGCUAAUAAAUAGUACGGAUCCAGUGAGCGAACUGCAAUGGCUAGUUUAUGAGUUGCAAGGAGCUGAAAUGAAUGGCGAGAAAGUUCACAUCAUUGGGCAUAUUCCACCUGGUCAUUCGGACUGUUUGAAAGUGUGGUCUAGGAACUAUUAUCAAAUCAUUAACAGGUACGAAUCUACAAUCACGGCACAAUUUUUUGGACAUACCCACUACGACGAAUUCCAAUUAUUUUACGAUAUUGCUGAUCUUGGAAGAGCUGUUAGCAUAGCUUACGUCGGGCCAUCGGUUACGCCUUAUUAUGAACUCAAUCCAGGAUACAGGAUAUACUACGUCGAUGGUGAUCAUCCAAAAACCACGAGGAUGGUCGUAGAUCACGAAAGCUGGGUAAUGAAUCUAAAAGAAGCGAAUCUUUAUGAUUAUCCUAUUUGGCACAAAAUGUACAGUGCCCGACAAGCGUAUCAAAUGCCAUCGCUUUUACCACGGGAUUGGGAUACCCUGAUAGAUAAGAUGAGCAAUGAACCUUCGCUUUUCGAUCUGUAUUAUAAACAUUAUUAUAAGAAUUCUCCCGUAAGACCGCCAUGUAACGAUGAAUGUCGAAAAAGAUUACUUUGUGAUUUGCGAAGUGGAAGAAGUCACGAUCGCAAAGCUCUAUGUCAAAGUCUCGAAUCUAGGAUAGAUAACGAAACAAGGACAGGUUGGCGAGCUUGGAUUUACAACGGACUCGCUUUCUCUUUAUUGGCCAUUAUUAAGGUCAAAAAGCUAUUUCAUGUGAUAUACACAUUUAUUAGCAAAUGGCACCUAGUAAUUAAAUAACAGACAGUACCUUCUGGUGAUGGAACACAUAUAAUGGUGGUUGAAAUUUCCAACACUAAUCUACAUUGCUUAUAGCAUUGUCUGUUUUCAUGGCAAUUCCUCGAUUUGCAUAUAAUUUACCUAAAUACGUAUUAGGCCUGGGAUAAGUGAAGAUAACAUUAAAUGGAAAACUGAUGUGAUUUUGUUGUUAAAUUAUUAAAUAUUUACAAUGGUGACAUUGUUACUUUGAAAGCUGUAAUAUGCAUUUACAUGCAUAAGAAUAUGCAUUAUUACACGCAAAAGUAUGAUGGAAUUGUCAGAUGCAGAUACAUAUAUUCGUGAGAUCCGUGUUAUGUUAUAGUUAAAAGAAUUUAUUUAACUAGCAAUAGAGAGAUUAUAUAGCGUAAAGUUUCACUUUCAAACAUGAAUUAUUUUUCCUUUGAAUGUGAUAAACAUACACGUCGAAUGUGUGUUGCUGUCGUAUCAAAAAUAUUUGACAAACUGUUUCUAAAGAGGAAUUACUUUAUUUUUUCUUUUCAGAAAUGAUGUUCUAUUUAUAAAAAUACCAUAUAGAAUGUACUAAAAUGUACUAGACAGAGAAGCUAAUAUUGGUCAUAUUAAAUUUCAUGUUUAGUUUAUGUCAAUUCUAUACAAAUUGAAAUCGUAACUACUCUGUGAUCUCAACAUAGAGAAUACAUUUUUGAAAAAAAAAAAAAAAAUAUAUAUAUAGAGUGAAUUUACAUAAAAGUAAUUGCAUUUAUAAGUUAGUUACAUGCAAUACAAUUAUAAGAUUAGGCAAAUGCAACUAGUUUGAAUAAUAAGAUAUACAAUCAAUCAGAUAUAAAAUCAAAUCUAGGUAAAAUCGACAAACACUGUUGAUUAUUUUUAGAAAUAUUUUGUACAUAAUCUUAUUUGUAUUGUAUAGUUAUUCUCGAACUCGUUGUCAGAAACAUAAUUAUUAUAAAUGUAUUAACAUUUUUAUGAAUGGAAAUACAAAAACUGUACUUACAAUUAGCGAUUAUUACACUUAACUUCAUUAGCAUAAUUGAUGUUUGAUAUAUAGGAUUUAAUUGUAAAAUUGAAUAAAAUUUUUUUUACAAUUUACAUGCUUUUGUAAGAAAUGGAUAUUCAACAAUGAACGGUAUAAGUUUUAGCGUCAACGAGAGAGCUCCAAGUAAAUUGAGGAAGCUUUUGGAAUCUAGGUGAAGAAAGCUGGUUGUGGAUUAGCGAAUUUAAUUUGGAAUAAGGGAUUAUCAUCUGAAAAAAAAAAAAAAAAAAAAAAAAAUACACUGCAAUGAUCAAAAAGCAAGAAAAGUAACAUAAAUGCAUAAAAAUCCGUGGUCUAUUCGUUAAAGUUUGUUUGUGCUUUCUUUAUCUGAUAUUUCCUUUACGUUUCUCAAUUUGGUUAUUUUAAGUGGAAUAUUUGAGAACAGCGCGUUUAGUUUUAAAUGUAAUUUUUAUUUAGGCUAUGUACAACACAUACGUACAAUACGUGACCCUUGCUUAAAACUAUAUUACGCUCGCCCGGUAUGCAUUUCCACUUUUAAUCUUUUCUCUUUGACAUACUUGUUAGUGUGUGUGAAUGUGUGCUCUCAUGCAUGCGUCGUCGUAAUAGACACACAUAUAUGUUGUGUUUCUUUCUGUAUGUAUGCAAGUGCAAAUGUGUUCGUAUAUUCGUGUGAUAUGUUACAAAUUUUUAGGAACAUUUCGCGUGGAACACCGCGAGCGAUAUUAGUAAUAA